GUUAAGAAUCUUGCGCAAUGGGCGAAAGCCUGACGCAGCGACGCCGCGUGGACGAUGAAGGCCUUCGGGUUGUAAAGUCCACUAAGCAGGGAAGAAUAAUCAGCGGGUAAUAUUCGCUGUGAUGACGGUACCUGCCUAAAGCCCCGGCUAACUACGUGCCAGCAGCCGCGGUAAUACGUAUGGGGCGAGCGUUGUUCGGAAUUAUUGGGCGUAAAGGGCGUGUAGGCGGUUUGUACAGUCAGAUGUGAAAUCCCUGGGCUUAACCUGGGAGCUGCAUUUGAGACGUGCAGACUAGAGUGUGAGAGAGGGUUGUGGAAUUCCCAGUGUAGAGGUGAAAUUCGUAGAUAUUGGGAAGAACACCGGUGGCGAAGGCGGCAACCUGGCUCAUUACUGACGCUGAGGCGCGAAAGCGUGGGGAGCAAACAGGAUUAGAAACCCCGGUAGUCC
RNAcentral lists this ribosomal RNA (447 nucleotides) under uncultured bacterium. RNAcentral describes it as "partial 16S ribosomal RNA". It matches the Rfam family "Bacterial small subunit ribosomal RNA", at positions 354 to 796 of the family's 1533-position model. The record is from RNAcentral.